RNAcentral lists this ribosomal RNA (231 nucleotides) under uncultured bacterium. Its description in RNAcentral is "partial 16S ribosomal RNA". It matches the Rfam family "Bacterial small subunit ribosomal RNA", at positions 102 to 334 of the family's 1533-position model. The record is from RNAcentral.
ACGGGUGAGUAAUGUCUGGGAAACGUGCCUGAUGGAGGGGGAUAACUACUGGAAACGGUAGCUAAUACCGCAUAACGUCGCAAGACCAAAGAGGGGGACCGUUCGGGCCUCUUGCCAUCGGAUGUGCCCAGAUGGGAUUAGCUAGUAGGUGGGGUAACGGCUCACCUAGGCGACGAUCCCUAGCUGGUCUGAGAGGAUGACCAGCCACACUGGAACUGAGACACGGUCCAG